UAAGCGGAGGAAAAGAAACUAACAAGGAUUCCCCUAGUAACGGCGAGUGAAGCGGGAAGAGCUCAAAUUUGAAAUCUGGUGGCCUCAGGUCAUCCGAGUUGUAAUCUAUAGAAGUGUUUUCCGUGCUGGCUCAUGUACAAGUCCCUUGGAACAGGGCGUCAUAGAGGGUGAGAAUCCCGUCCUUGACAUGAACUACCAGUGCUCUGUGAUACAUUUUCAACGAGUCGAGUUGUUUGGGAAUGCAGCUCAAAAUGGGUGGUAAAUUCCAUCUAAAGCUAAAUAUUGGCGAGAGACCGAUAGCGAACAAGUACCGUGAGGGAAAGAUGAAAAGCACUUUGGAAAGAGAGUUAAACAGUAUGUGAAAUUGUUGAAAGGGAAACGAUUGAAGUCAGUCGUGCUCUUUGGAUUCAGCCGGUUCUGCCGGUGUACUUCCUUUGAGUGGGGUCAACAUCAGUUUUGAUCGCUGGAUAAAGGCUGGAGGAACGUAGUACCCUCGGGUAAACUUAUAGCCUCCUGUCACAUACAGUGGUUGGGAGGUGAGGAACGCAGCACGCCUUUAUGGCCGGGAUUCGUCCACG
Molecule: ribosomal RNA, 578 nt
Filed under: fungal yeast sp. Urf722
Lineage: Eukaryota; Fungi
Description: eukaryotic LSU rRNA
Rfam family: Eukaryotic large subunit ribosomal RNA
Source: RNAcentral